UCAAAGACAUGCAUCAGUGAAAAACAGCAGGCACAGCUCCUCUGCUGCUCAUCCCUCCCACGAGUACCGAAUAUUCCAAUUCCAAAUUGUUUUUACCAUGUGACGCGAUAAAGAUCCCCUAUGAUUUCGAAUAUGCACUAAUAGAGAAACAAAAAGAAGGUAAACUGCUCCCAUUGUCUCCUGAGCAGUGAGAAAGGCAAGAAAAAGAGGGAUCCAAUUACCAGGGAUCCCCCGUAGAGGGUACUGAAGAUCAGCCUCUGGUGAGGGAAGGCGAGAGAAGAAAGCGGUUUGCGGAGGAUUGAAGACGACCCUUGGACUGGGGGAAGGACAAGGGGGAGGUAUCCGUUCGUACAGUGUGGAAGAUCGUCCCUCGGAGUCAGAGGGUUCUUCUCGGACAGCUGGCAGCAGCUAGGGGAAGUAAUUUAUUGAAUUUCUAACCGGCCCCACUUUCCCCCCGUCUGUCUGGCCUGGGAGCUAAUAGCUAGCCGCUGCAUUAUGCUUAAUGCCCUCGCUAUCACUUUCGGCUAACAUGGUUUGGCAUACACUUUGGGAAAUCAGAGAGAAUGGGGGUAUUGAUCUUGGUUUUUGGCCUUGUGUAAUGCACGCUGCCGUAAUGCUGGAGAGUGGGUGUGAAGGGCCUUUUCAUUUCAUCAAAUGUUUUUUUGAGUGCCGUUCGUGUCUGCAUUCAAUCAUUCCACUCUUUCUCUCUCUAUCUUUCUAUCUGCAUCUCCUACUCUGCUGCACGUCUUCCCUCUCGCUGUCUCUCUCUCGCUGAGAUGUGAGGCAGAAUGAACUGAUAAAAACGAGGUUGUCUCCUAGAGGCUGCCAUAGCUUCUCUGUUUCUUUCAGCUGUAAAGGAUGGAAAAAAAGGCUUUUUUUCAGAGCCCUCGAGUCAUGUGUCAGGACUUCAAGCAUGAAAGUGAACAUACAUGUGCUGAGCUGAAUGUGGACGUGAAGCCCAACACACACACACACACACACACACACAUAACGUGUGCAGCCUCACAUGUUUCCUCUGCUUAUUAUUGGCGGAAAAUUUCCCAUCUAUCAUCACAUGGAACAGCUACAUUCUUGUAGCAGGGUUACACCAACACUAUGAAUUACCACAAAACUUGAGGCAGCACAGGUCAGGGAAGAGCCCAUUAAAUAUUGUAGUGGGUUUUGGUUAGGGGCCGGCUGUGAGAUUUUUCAACAUUUUCCUCGGUUUCAUAGAGAAUAAUUCAUGGAUUUUGAUGAAAAAAAGAUUAUGGGACCGAUAUUUAUGAAUUUGGUGCAGAUCCAAAUAAAAAUCCCCAUCUAGUGAAUUUAAAUGUGAUUUCAUAUGGGGACUGCUGGGCCUUAGUGAAGGUACAGUAUGAACUGCAGUAUGCAUCAACAUUUUUUUUACUCAGUUACAGAUGAACCUUCACUUCACAGCCACUGAACUUCAUCUAUUGAGUGGCUAUUGGUUGAUAUGAAAAUGUCAUAUUUGAAAGGAUUUCAUAAGAUGUUUUUUCCAUAAACAUCACAUACAGUCAAAGAAAAUGCAAAACAAUGAAAUAAUUUAACUAGAUAUAAAUUCAUAUUUAGUCAACACACAUGAGAGUAGUGUCAGUCUCCUUAUAUGCCUUAAGAGUAAAUAAUUGUGUUUUGUAUCAGGUAAUAUAACAGUAAAUGUGUACAAAUUACAUUAUAUAUCCUGAACUAUUUUAAUAUUUGAAAUAUUCAAUUUGAAAUGAGGAAUAUGGCACAAUGAUGUAUGAAAUGUAAAAUAUUCAAUCAAAAAUUAAAUGUAUCGCCUGCAAACAGCUAAACCUGUUUAAUAAUAUCUUUAUAUACAGGCUACAGUAUAUAUCAUCUACACCUUCCCUCUGCAUGACCUCUGCAUUGUUCUGCAUAUUAUUUGCAGCUGAACAGGCACCUGGGCCGGCGGCAGGGGACAAGCACGGCAGCACCAGAUGAGGCAGCCUCAGGCCAAGGCCACUUGUGGAACUCGCUACUCACUUGAGAGAGUUGGAUCCAUUAUGUGUUUACUGUACUGAAGCUAUGUACUGCAGUGUGUGUGUAUGUGUGCGUGAGAGAGAGAGAGAGAGUGGAAAGAGAUUGCUGGAGGUUGAGGGUGGUGGUGUGGGGGGGGACACUACAGAUGUCCUUGCCCUGAGCUUUUCUCUGCAUGAAAAUCAGCGCCGCUCUGGAGGAAUCGCUGGCACAGGCUGACGUCACAGUAUACAGCAGGAGCGACUCCCGGAGUCAAAUGUGGAGGAUUCAAUCUUAGCUGGGGGAGAAUCCAUGAGCGUCACCGCUGAAGGGGAAAGUGCUGCAGAAAGACAAGAUACUGCAGGGACCAUCGGCAAAGAAGGGGGCCAUCGGAUGAGACUGAGCUAACCUGAUGAGGAGAACCAGCCCGAGAGGGAGCGAUGUUCGAAGGGCUCCCUUCCAGCAUUUUCCCUCUUUAUGUUGAGUAACUGGAGGCAAAUACACUGGAACUCUUAAUUAACCAUCCUGUUUCCUUUGCCUAGAGCCUCCACCAGCUGGAGCACAGUUUGAGCUGCAUAUUGAUCAUUGGGCUUUAAAGAAAUAUAAAUAA
Platichthys flesus (European flounder) is the source of this 2566-nucleotide long non-coding RNA. RefSeq lists it as uncharacterized. The record is from RefSeq and is a predicted model, not a curated record. The transcript has 3 exons. Lineage: Eukaryota; Metazoa; Chordata; Actinopteri; Pleuronectiformes; Pleuronectidae.